AAACCUUGUGUCUGAGCUUUGAACUCAGUGAUGUUUGCCAUGAUUUCUAGAAUCUCUCUACCUUGAGUUUUGGUGCAAAAUUUCACCGGGGAACUGAAUAUUGAGCAACAAUACAUAGACAAUAACACCAGCUAUUGCCAGACAAGAUAUUGCAGCGAUGCCAUAAAGUCCUUCUCCAGUUCCUGCUUUCCUGAUCCGCUUGGCACCAAAUGGACGAGCAGAGCAGAGCCUGCAAACAGCGAUGAGAAGUGAGACUCUGAAAAGCCAUGGUAGCAUUUACAUCUCUGGCAAGAAUCAGGGCUGGAAAACCACAAUCUUUAGGAAGCAGUGGAUUUACACAUCAAAUACCUUACAUUUCUCCUGCUGGUCUCCGACCAUUAUCCUCUGCUCUCAGUAGAACAGUGUAUUUAACGGCUUCAUUAAUGCCAGAGUGAAAAUUAUCUACUGCUGGAGUGACUGUCGUGUGGGGAAUUUUUACACCAGAACUGGAGCAGCAUUCUGAUCCUUCAGUACUUGGGAGCAA
Calidris pugnax (ruff) is the source of this 523-nucleotide long non-coding RNA. RefSeq lists it as uncharacterized. NCBI's taxonomy places the organism in Eukaryota, Metazoa, Chordata, Aves, Charadriiformes, Scolopacidae. The transcript has 3 exons. The record is from RefSeq and is a predicted model, not a curated record.